RNAcentral lists this ribosomal RNA (253 nucleotides) under uncultured bacterium. Its description in RNAcentral is "partial 16S ribosomal RNA". It matches the Rfam family "Bacterial small subunit ribosomal RNA", at positions 524 to 776 of the family's 1533-position model. The record is from RNAcentral.
UACGUAGGGGGCAAGCGUUGUCCGGAAUCAUUGGGCGUAAAGCGCGUGUAGGCGGCUCGGUAAGUCCGCUCUGAAAGUCCAGGGCUCAACCCUGGGAUGCGGGUGGAUACUGCCGGGCUCGAGUCCGGAAGAGGCGAGUGGAAUUCCCGGUGUAGCGGUGAAAUGCGCAGAUAUCGGGAGGAACACCAAUGGCGAAGGCAGCUCGCUGGGACGUGACUGACGCUGAGACGCGAAAGCGUGGGGAGCGAACCGG